AUACCGCAUACGCCCUACGGGGGAAAGCAGGGGAUCUUCGGACCUUGCGCUAAUAGAUGAGCCUAAGUCAGAUUAGCUAGUUGGUGGGGUAAAGGCCUACCAAGGCGACGAUCUGUAGCGGGUCUGAGAGGAUGAUCCGCCACACUGGGACUGAGACACGGCCCAGACUCCUACGGGAGGCAGCAGUGGGGAAUAUUGGACAAUGGGCGCAAGCCUGAUCCAGCCAUGCCGCGUGUGUGAAGAAGGCCUUUUGGUUGUAAAGCACUUUAAGCGAGGAGGAGGCUACUUGGAUUAAUACUCUAGGAUAGUGGACGUUACUCGCAGAAUAAGCACCGGCUAACUCUGUGCCAGCAGCCGCGGUAAUACAGAGGGUGCGAGCGUUAAUCGGAUUUACUGGGCGUAAAGCGUGCGUAGGCGGCUUCUUAAGUCGGAUGUGAAAUCCCUGAGCUUAACUUAGGAAUUGCAUUCGAUACUGGGAAGCUAGAGUAUGGGAGAGGAUGGUAGAAUUCCAGGUGUAGCGGUGAAAUGCGUAGAGAUCUGGAGGAAUACCGAUGGCGAAGGCAGCCAUCUGGCCUAAUACUGACGCUGAGGUACGAAAGCAUGGGGAGCAAACAGGAUUAGAUACCCUGGUAGUCCAUGCCGUAAACGAUGUCUACUAGCCGUUGGGGCCUUUGAGGCUUUAGUGGCGCAGCUAACGCGAUAAGUAGACCGCCUGGGGAGUACGGUCGCAAGACUAAAACUCAAAUGAAUUGACGGGGGCCCGCACAAGCGGUGGAGCAUGUGGUUUAAUUCGAUGCAACGCGAAGAACCUUACCUGGUCUUGACAUAGUAAGAACUUUCCAGAGAUGGAUUGGUGCCUUCGGGAACUUACAUACAGGUGCUGCAUGGCUGUCGUCAGCUCGUGUCGUGAGAUGUUGGGUUAAGUCCCGCAACGAGCGCAACCCUUUUCCUUAUUUGCCAGCGGGUUAAGCCGGGAACUUUAAGGAUACUGCCAGUGACAAACUGGAGGAAGGCGGGGACGACGUCAAGUCAUCAUGGCCCUUACGACCAGGGCUACACACGUGCUACAAUGGUCGGUACAAAGGGUUGCUACCUAGCGAUAGGAUGCUAAUCUCAAAAAGCCGAUCGUAGUCCGGAUUGGAGUCUGCAACUCGACUCCAUGAAGUC
RNAcentral lists this ribosomal RNA (1167 nucleotides) under Acinetobacter johnsonii. RNAcentral's name for it is "bacterial SSU rRNA". It matches the Rfam family "Bacterial small subunit ribosomal RNA", at positions 166 to 1327 of the family's 1533-position model. The record is from RNAcentral. Lineage: Bacteria; Pseudomonadati; Pseudomonadota; Gammaproteobacteria; Moraxellales; Moraxellaceae.